ACGCCAGAUACUGGUCUGGAGAGGGUUGGAUGGAGGGGUGGUUCCAGGCGUUGCCAUUAGCUACUGAAACAAGAUAACUCUGCUCAUGAGAUGUUGUUUACAUUCUAGAAUUGGAGGGAGUUGUUUGUUUGCCAAUGUAAAAUUUGCUAACUUUAAGUUAUCUUCCUUACUAUAACAUUAAAGCUCUACUAUUCGUUACUUACUAAGGAAAAGUACUGUUCAGUGGCUGUAUACUUAGAUUGAGGUUUAAAGUUGUGUUUUAUAUUAAUGAAUAUGGUAAAUGAAUAAUUUGCCAUAUCUUCUAAUAAGAGUGAAAAUGAAUCUAUAUGCAACAUUACUGUUAUUCAUUCAUUUUGGGAAAGUUAAUUGCAACUGUGUGGUUCAGGGAUUUAGUGC
Molecule: long non-coding RNA, 396 nt
Filed under: Bos taurus (domestic cattle)
Lineage: Eukaryota; Metazoa; Chordata; Mammalia; Artiodactyla; Bovidae
Description: long non-coding RNA NONBTAT015600
Source: RNAcentral